Long non-coding RNA from Heterocephalus glaber (naked mole-rat), 623 nucleotides. The record is from Ensembl. Lineage: Eukaryota; Metazoa; Chordata; Mammalia; Rodentia; Bathyergidae.
AGAAGGCUUCUAACCAAUUUCACUUAGAGAUAAAAACAUAAUCAUGUCCCCAAGUAGAGAAAUAUCCAAAGUAUCCAUGGAGUGACACCAUGACCAAAAGGAGAAGAAAUGAACAACAACAAAAACAAACCAAAACAACAACAGCCAAACACCAACCCACAGUGUUUCUUCUGUUGUUCAUGCACUGAGGUGACAUUUAUGAAGCACCAUGUGUCAAGGCAUAUAUUGCACCACUUGGUUAAAAAAUAAAACUCAUCUUCUGUGAUAUGUACUCUGUUAUUAAUGGCAGCUAAAGCCUUGUGUUGAAAAGGAUCCUGAGACUCAAUUUUGAGACAGACUCUCACUCAUAGUCAAGACAAUAUAAAAUGGAUAUAGACAUGCGAGUUUCACAAAUACCCAGCCUCUGCUAAAUAAUGACAUUCUGUACACCAUAGACUCUUAAAUAAAUGUGUUUUAAAGAAUAUUUUUGCAUAAUUUCUCCAUUUCUCAGAUCAACAAGCCAAAGUUCCAAAUUAGAGUCACACAUUUCAUGCAGUACAGAAAGUUUGAAGAAGAAAUAUAAUCAAUAUCUUCUUCUUUUACCUAGGUUCCUUCCCUAUAUUCCCACCUAUUCUAAGAUUGGC